This is a long non-coding RNA of Manis javanica (Malayan pangolin), 1690 nucleotides long. RefSeq lists it as uncharacterized. The record is from RefSeq and is a predicted model, not a curated record. Lineage: Eukaryota; Metazoa; Chordata; Mammalia; Pholidota; Manidae.
AACCAAUUCUCUGGGUAAAUACAAAACUGAGGCUCAUGACUUCCCAAAUUCACAGGAUGGCUGGAAAGGCAGUGCGGGGCUGAGGUGCCAGGUGUCCCUGGUGGGACAUCUCACUGCCCACGUUUCUGCAGGAAGUUAUUUUUCCAUCAGAGUGCUGUUUUGCAUGGAAGUGUUUGGAGAACUAGUCACCUGCCCCCCUUCCACACAUACCUUAGGCGAUCAGUUCAGAACUGGGUACGUGACCCACUUUGGACGAGAGUCCUUUCCUAGGCAUUUGGAACUGGGCCUGAGAAGGAGAAAGCCUCCCACUCACUUAAGUUCAAUAGGAGAAAGAACUCAUGGUGAUGAGAUGGCUGCCACAGCUCCAGGCACCAUGACCACAAUCAAAGCCAGAACUGAAUCAUAUAGCUGCCCCAGCUGCUGGAGAGAUUGGGAAACUGAAUGUCUGGCAAAAGGACUGGCCCAAACCAGUUAUGAUCAGGCACUGGCUAAGCUCUGGGGACGUAAUGAUGAAUGAAACCAGAAUAAAGCUCUGCCCUCGUGGAGGGUACAGUCUGAGGGAGACGACUGGAGCUACUAAAGCCACCAUGACAGAGGAAAAAUUUUACUCUCAUGAUUCUGGCAAGGAGAGGGACAUGGUAGUCUUAGUCCAUAGUAUGGGAGUGAAAAGGCAAAAAUCCUGGUAUGUCUAAAGUAUGUGACAUGAGGUCCAGAGAAUGAGGGAGGGAGACAAGCAAAGAUCAUCACUCAGUAGCUUCAGGCCACAGCUCACCAGAAUCUCCACGUUCCUGGGUGAACUCAUUCCAACAGGCAUCGAGAAGGUCCCUUGGACCACAGCAUCCCCCAGGUGGGUGACCACUAUCUGACCAUCACCAGCAACCCAUCCAUGAGCCUUCUCUGCGGACUCACCACCUAUCCCAGGACUCUCCCCAAUCCAUGUUGCCUCGAUUCCCUGACCUGUAGCCCAUGUGAAUUCAACAAAAUUUCUUUCCUUGAGAUCCCUCAUAAAUGUGCCCAGUUUCUUGAGUCUGGUGGACAAGUUGCUUCUGUUCACUGGCCUUUCUGCUGGUAAAGCAGAAACUUCUUGUCCCAGGACUCAGUCCUUACCUGGGUGAAUCUGUAAAGGCUCAACAAACCCUCUUUUAUAGCAGAGAUCUCUCAGCCUCUAGAGUUUCUGAUCUGUCAGGAGCCAUAAUACAGGACUGGCCCUAGCAGUGGGGUCAGCAGUUUUCCCUGAGAAGGGAGCACCAGUUCUGACCCAAAUAUGCGCACACAGGCUGGCGUCUCUGCCUGAAUGGCUUCUCCCUCUCCUCGUCACCUCCCAUGAAACCCUGGAAGUGAUCUAUUUCUCCUUUAAGCUCCUGGGGAAAAUGUUCUUACCUGCCUUACUGGUUGACUACUUGGUCUGCUCACCCCUACUCCUUCCAGAAAACAUGGAAUGUCUCAUCUUUCCUUUAAAUAUGUAGCAUCCUAAUGGUUCUCUUGCACCUAGCAAACAUUCAACACUUUAAACUAUAUUUUAUAGAUGUUUACUGUCAUAUAGUUUCAAAAAAGAUGUGAGAGCUUACAUAGUUGUGUGUGUGUGUGUGUGUGUGUGUGUGGUGUGCAUGUACCUGUGUGACAUUUCCACAAGUCCAGACACCCAGAACCUUGGAUUUCUGUCCAUAAGCUGGCGUUUUAAAAAAUCUAU